ACACCUACGGGUGGCAGCAGUGGGGAAUUUUGGACAAUGGGGGCAACCCUGAUCCAGCCAUGCCGCGUGCGGGAAGAAGGCCUUCGGGUUGUAAACCGCUUUUGUCCGGGAAGAAAAGAUCUCUCUUAAUACGGGAGGUUCUUGACGGUACUGGAAGAAUAAGCACCGGCUAACUACGCGCCAGCAGCCGCGGUAAUACGUAGGGUGCGAGCGUUAAUCGGAAUUACUGGGCGUAAAGCGUGCGCAGGCGGUUCGCUAAGUCUGAUGUGAAAGCCCCGGGCUCAACCUGGGAAUGGCAUUGGAAACUGGCGAGCUUGAGUGUGGCAGAGGGGGGUGGAAUUCCACGUGUAGCAGUGAAAUGCGUAGAGAUGUGGAGGAACACCGAUGGCGAAGGCAGCCCCCUGGGCUAACACUGACGCUCAGGCACGAAAGCGUGGGGAGCAAACAGGAUUAGAUACCCUGGUAGUCCACGCCCUAAACUAUGUCAACUGGGUGUUGGGGAAGCGAUUCCUCAGUACCGUAGCUAACGCGUGAAGUUGAC
Molecule: ribosomal RNA, 541 nt
Filed under: uncultured bacterium
Lineage: Bacteria
Description: bacterial SSU rRNA
Rfam family: Bacterial small subunit ribosomal RNA
Source: RNAcentral